RNAcentral lists this unclassified non-coding RNA (353 nucleotides) under soil metagenome. RNAcentral describes it as "partial contains 5.8S ribosomal RNA, internal transcribed spacer 2, and large subunit ribosomal RNA". The stretch from base 5 to 121 matches the Rfam family "5.8S ribosomal RNA", at positions 38 to 154 of the family's 154-position model. The record is from RNAcentral.
GAUGGAAGAACGUAGCGAAAUGCGAUAAGUAAUGUGAAUUGCAGAAUUCAGUGAAUCAUCGAAUCUUUGAACGCACAUUGCGCCCGCCAGUAUUCUGGCGGGCAUGCCUGUUCGAGCGUCAUUACAACCCUCAGGCCCCCGGGCCUGGCGUUGGGGAUCGGCGGAGCCCCCCGUGGGCACACGCCGUCCCCCAAAUGCAGUGGCGGUCCCGCCGCAGCUUCCAUCGCGUAGUAGCUAACACCUCGCGACUGGAGAGCGGCGCGGCCACGCCGUAAAACACCCAACUCUUCUGAAGUUGACCUCGAAUCAGGUAGGAAUACCCGCUGAACUUAAGCAUAUCAAUAAGCGGAGGA